UACAGAAGAAGCACCGGCUAACUCCGUGCCAGCAGCCGCGGUAAUACGGGAGGGUGCGAGCGUUAAUCGGAAUUACUGGGCGUAAAGCGCAUGCAGGCGGCCUGUUAAGUCAGAUGUGAAAGCCCGGGGCGUUAACCUCGGAAUUGCAUUUGAAACUGGCAGGCUAGAGUCUUGUAGAGGGGGGUAGGAAUUUCAGGUGUAGCGGUGAAAUAGCGUAGAGAUCUGAAGGAAUACCAGUGGCGAAGGCGGCCCCCUCGGACAAAGACUGACGCUCAGAUGCGAAAGCGUAGGGAGCAAACAGGAUUAGAUACCCUGGUAG
Molecule: ribosomal RNA, 319 nt
Filed under: uncultured bacterium
Lineage: Bacteria
Description: bacterial SSU rRNA
Rfam family: Bacterial small subunit ribosomal RNA
Source: RNAcentral